This 2724-nucleotide long non-coding RNA is filed under the name Elaeis guineensis (African oil palm). RNAcentral describes it as "long non-coding RNA (EGUI_LNC039149)". Lineage: Eukaryota; Viridiplantae; Streptophyta; Magnoliopsida; Arecales; Arecaceae. The record is from RNAcentral.
UCUUGGCGUAGCACAUUCAUUUUUCUGGCGAGUUAGGGGUAAAGUAAAGCCAAGCUAAGCGAGUUUUCUAUUCAUUUCGGUUGUGAGCAAACACACACAAGUAAAGGGUAUAAUGGCAAGCAGGAAAGGGACAGUACCUCACCUAUUAGGAGAGCCAUCAGGCAAUAGAAAGAAAGAAAAGGGAUCUUAGGGAAGCCACUAUUUGUUUCUACUUCUUUUGAAAACGAGCAAGAAAAAGAAAGGACUAAGUCAAGGGCUAGAGCCAAUUCAGUUCAAGAAAGCUCUUUUAUCAUACGGGAUUACCCGUGCCAUUUUCAUUCCUUGAGUGGAUUGAGAAAAUAUCUCAUAGUACUUGAGUGCUUAUGAGUAUAUAUUUCCAGAUCUCCCUAUGCUUAACCUUAACAUUGGAGGGAGGGAAUUGACUAAGGGUCUGAAAGAGAUUCACCAUAUGACGACUAUCAAGCAGGUGAUUAGGGAGAAGGUAAUUAUACAUACUAUUCCAGUUUCCUUACAUCCGAUGCUAAUUCCCUCUCUGCCGAGCCAGUUGGAGUGAAAAGGGUUGGAGUGUUAAGCAUAUACUCUUGAAAGUUCUAAGUAUAUUUUCUAGCACUAUUCCAUAUAUGGUUAUGUCUAGCCUAUAAGUAGAAAGAUCAGUCCCAAAAGUUUCGCAUUCCCUCUAUUCCCUAAGAAAUUUCCUCUACCUGUAGUCGGAGUACGCAAUCAAGUUUUCCAUCAGUCCCUUUUCUUUUGUCUUUUUUCAUUUCUUGAAUGGAGGGUUUUACAGUGAAAGCAAGUUAGAAAGGAAGCUGCGUCUCUUUCUCUUAGUUAGAAAAUCAAAUGAUCAAACCAGUGAAAGAUAGUUCCUUUUAUCAAUCUUUACCUCUUUUGGAAGGGCAGCGUAUUUAGUACAAGCUAGUGAUAAAGCUUAGGCACGUAGUUCCCGGAUAGUCUCUGCCUCUUUACCUUGUGGGUAAGUUGUCUAGUCCCAUUGCCCCUAGGUAAAGGGCUUGGGUCUACUGAUUGCCUUGCUCUUGCCAUCCUUGCCUCUAUUGCUAUUAGGGCUGGUUCUCGAUCUGGAACAACUGACUCUAGUACUGGUGCUUGCUUUGCUUAUGGCGUAUAUGGAUCACGAAGGUCUGGGUCACGCUCACGAACGUCAGAAUCAGGCUCUCGAUCACUACUCUCAGAAUCUGGAUCUCGACCAGAUCCUCAAUCCUACCUUGACGCACUUCUCGCUUUGAUAUUUGCUGCACUCUUUCGCUUGAAAUGGAGGUUCUGAAUCCAAAUCCAUGAGAGCUUUCAUUCCAAUCUUUUAUAGAUGAUCUGAGUGUGAUGAUCAAUGCCACUUUACCCUACCACGGGCUCUCAUUGUUCACACCUGAAUUCGGACUUGCUUGACCCUGCUGAUGACUCGGAUGCUAAAGACAAAUCGUGUGCGGGGCCUUUUUCAGAAAAAUUGCUUAUCGCAGCAUAGAAAACUCUGAACUAUGGAAAGUCAUGAGGCAGUCCCUCACCACUGAGAAGGUCAGGAUGGAGCUAAGAAAAGGGUUUCUGGCCCAACAAUCAAAGCUCGUCUGCUCAGAGCCUUAGAGAGGUCAAGGAGGUCAACAGGAGUGAGACGGAAAGGAAAAAGCAUGAGCUUGAUGUUCGACAGAAAGGAAAGGGGCUCAAAGCGAAGUAUAGAAAGAGAAGCGGGGAAGAGAAAAAAAGACUCAUCCGCCCAAAGAAAGAGUCCUUACCUGACGAGAGCCAGUUUUGGGGAUCAAGUCCACUGACAAAAUCUGAUGAGAGAAAGGGGGAGCCCCUUUCAGUUUCCAGUAGUACUACUUUGAUUUGCUUCUUCAACAGUAGACGAGAAUAGACCGUUGAAAUAGAUCUCUGCCCAAAGAAAGAACUUUCCUUAUGAAUGAGGUUGGUCGACAGGUAUGAAGACAACUUGCCAAUCUAUUAGCAUAGAGGGUAGACAAGAACAUCUUUGGUACUGAACAGAAAGAUUGGGUUGACUAGGAUGAUGAAUUGAGUGAACUAAGUUGGUCAUUCACAGCUUCAAUCACUUUUGAGACAAAUCAGGAUCAGAUGUACAGAUCUGCGCUUUCCAUUAUAGACAUUUACCUUGAACUACUGAUGAAAUGCUUCCUUCCUGAGAAGCAGACUCUGGCCUACGACAGGUUAUCCCCCCCCUCACAGAUUGUUCUUCUUGGUCGUCGAGACCUAUUGCUGUCAUAAUGUGAAAACACAAAAUGCCAACAAUGUCAAAUCCACAAGCGAAACUCAUUCACCACGCCCUAUCUUUAGAACUCAAAAUGUUGACUCUCAGUCAUAAAAAAACUGCUUUCCUUGAUCAACGAUCAGUCCCGGCCCAGUAGCCGAGAAAUCCAUUCCUUUAACCAGAGUAGGAGUAGCCGGAGCUCUAGGCAGGAGAAGUCAGGCGUGAAUCCCGAUCUGAGUCCAAGAGUAGUAGUUCCGAUCGAUCAAAGCAGUCGAAAUGAAGCAAGAAUCCCUUUAAGCCGUCAUCAGUCAAGUGAGGCAAUCAAUCUCCUUUUUCGUGGUUGACCGGCAAAGCAAAGACCAGCAGUCUUGUCGGGUUUGGAAGCACAGUCCCAAAGAAAAGAGAAAAUAGUUGAAUCAGAAAGGAAAGGCUUUGUUGAGGACGUGUGCUCUUACUCAAAGUCGUUUCACUUUCCCCAAAAGAACAAUAAGAGUGAUUGAGCGCAGAUCUCUCAU